This 99-nucleotide transfer RNA is filed under the name Planobispora rosea. RNAcentral's name for it is "tRNA-Phe". Lineage: Bacteria; Bacillati; Actinomycetota; Actinomycetes; Streptosporangiales; Streptosporangiaceae. The record is from RNAcentral.
CGUCCGCGCCGGCGGACCGGGCCUGACCGCGCCCGGCCGGAACGUCCGGCGGGAAAACGAUCCGGGUCCGGGUCCGGUUCCGGGUCCGAUCGCGGACGG